RNAcentral lists this ribosomal RNA (451 nucleotides) under Digitonthophagus gazella. Its description in RNAcentral is "partial 16S ribosomal RNA". It matches the Rfam family "Bacterial large subunit ribosomal RNA", at positions 1816 to 2525 of the family's 2925-position model. The record is from RNAcentral. Lineage: Eukaryota; Metazoa; Arthropoda; Insecta; Coleoptera; Scarabaeidae.
CAUGUCUUUUUGAUAAUAAUUUAAAGUCUGACCUGCCCUAUGAUAAUAAAAUUAUUAAAUGGCCGCGAUAUUUUGAUCGUGCAAAGGUAGCAUAAUAAUUAGUUUUUUAAUUGAGAACUGGUAUGAAAGGUCGAACGAGAAAAAAACUGUCUCAAUUUAAAUUUGAUUAGAAUUUUAUUUUUAAGUAAGAAAGCUUAAAUGUAUUUAAAAGACGAGAAGACCCUAUAGAGUUUUAUAUUUAUUGAAAUUUAAAAAAUUUAAGAAUUUUAAUUUUAUUGUUUUUUAAUAAAUAUUUGGUUGGGGCGAUUGGAAAAUUAAACGAACUUUUCUUUAUUUUUAACAUUGAUAUAUGAUUAAUUGAUCCAUUAUUUAUGAUUAAAAGAUUAAAUUACCUUAGGGAUAACAGCGUAAUUUUUUUUGAGAGUUCUUAUCGAAAAAAAAGUUUGCGACC